RNAcentral lists this long non-coding RNA (240 nucleotides) under Malus domestica (apple). RNAcentral's name for it is "long non-coding RNA (MDOM_LNC003228)". The record is from RNAcentral. Lineage: Eukaryota; Viridiplantae; Streptophyta; Magnoliopsida; Rosales; Rosaceae.
ACACAGAACGGGGAGAAAGCCCUCGUUUUCCCUCUCUCCUUCGCAACACAGUACCAUCACUAUGCAAUAUCGAAUCCUGCGAGUUCUCGCCAUCUCCGACGAAGGUAAGGCCGAAAACCUUCUUAAUAAUUUGUAGAUCACGUCUAGGAGUACGUUUAGGUUGUUUUUGAGACAGUUUGGUGUUGUUGGGACAUAGAAAUCACAAGGGGGAAACACUCCCAGUUUUCCGAAGAGAACCCG